GAGAAGUACCACUGACAUGCAUACUUUGUUUCUGCUCUGUGAGGAGCUUAUUACAUAGUUUAUUGAGCCAAGGUUAGCUAGCAUAUGUGAAGCAAAUGUGAAGCAAUUGAGAUCAGAACUGAAAGGCAUUGACUGUAAAAUGUGGGAAUGCCUCAGUGAAAGAAAUGACUGGUGGGUCCAAAGCAAUCAGAUACAUGAAUAAGGUAGGACAUGAUCAGAUCCUUCAACAAUGAGCUGGAUUUAGAAAGAAAAAGCAAGGAAAAGAAAGGUAUUUGAGCAAAGUGAUGGACAGCCCAAGAAACAGAAGCAUGAAUGCCAGUGAGGUUCGGGUCUGUCUGCAGCACAUGGGGGUGCCAAGCUCCCAUUUGGAGCUGAAGAACUGCUUGUCUUUAUUCCACCCAACAGGGAAUGCAGUAUGCAUCUAGGGGGUGGGACAGUGAGUUUCUUUCUCAGGAAACCAGAGACAUCAAGAGAGUUCAGAACAGAGGGAGGAGGAAGUUCUAGAGGACAGAGGGAGAAUCUACAAGGUCAUGAAUGGAAAGGUCCAGAACAGAUGUCCUGGCCCCAGAUAGAACAAGAUUCCAGGGAGAUGAGAGCAAGACCAGGAGAUGGAGAGGAAGCCUACCAUCUGCCACCAUCACCUAGAACACCUGUUGUGACAUGUCGCCCGGCAUGAAGAGGAGCCCUAUGUGAGGAAAGGCUCAUAUAAGCUGUCAACUAAGUUGUCCUCCAAAGUUGAUGAUAGUCAUGCCUUCAGGUCCAUCUAGAAGGAAAGACUCAUGCCAACUCUCAUCCAGGAGCAGCUAUUUUAGACCUCAUUCUCUGGACUCUUGCCCCUCCCAUGUUGGAGCCAAUUCUGGAGAUUUAGGAGUAUAUCUUCAGACUCUAGGCUCGCCAGCAGGUCCUGCAGCCACAUACCUAGUAUUACCUGCUGCACCCUUUUGUAGAAAGGGGUUCCUGUGCUACCCCAGAACUUGAUUUAGGAACUGAGCCUCCAGCCUGACUCUGACCAUCUGGGUACAAGCACCUUCAACAGUGGUAGCAAGAGUUGGUCAAAAAGGAACAUGUACCUGACCUGCUAGACCCAUGGGAUAUUAGAGACCCUUAGCAGAAUCACCUGGGAAUUCUGAGAAGUGCCUGGAACCCCACAUGCAGGACACAUUAGCAAUUCGGUUGCCCAGCAUCCACUGUUGCCUCCAUAGCAGCACUGCCAGACUGACUUCUGGGGAACUACCCCCCAGUAAACUGUAAACAGCAGUGGAGACUGUCAGUCAAGCUGCUCUGCCCUCCCUCGCCAAAGCUACCACCUGGCCUCAGUUGCGUUGAACUCAGGAUUAAAUGGCAGCACUGAUAGUUACUUGCUUGACACUCACAGACACUCAAUGGAUAUCUAUCUGUUCAAUGACUGAUUCAGUCAGUUAUUCCAAGAAAAUGGUAUAGGCGAUCAAUAUUAGUAUAAGACUUAAAAAGCCUCAUGACUGAAGAUCAAUCAUACAGAGCCAAGUCACGUGACUUCUUAAUCAAGCCGAGGGUUGUUCUCAGCAACCAGUGGCUACUAUCAAGCCCUUUCCAUGUGUCUUCCUCCACCUUCGAAGCCAGCGAUGGUGUAUCAAGCCCUUCUCAUGCUUCGACAAGUCUCUCUGAACCUCCUUGUCUAAUAAGAUAUAUAAAAUGUGCACAAAAUAAUCUGUAGUUAUGGAAAUAUACAGAAAAUGUCAGAGGCCAGGGCACUCAUUAAACUAAUCAAAAUUUUUGAGUGGCUGGAUGAUAGCUAAUUUUGUUUUCAUACUUUUGUGUGCGUUUUCUUAAUUGUUUUUGCAUUCAGUAUGUACUAUUUUUAUAGGUUUUGUUAGAAAAGCAUAAA
Canis lupus familiaris (dog) is the source of this 1864-nucleotide long non-coding RNA. RefSeq lists it as uncharacterized. The record is from RefSeq and is a predicted model, not a curated record. The transcript has 3 exons. NCBI's taxonomy places the organism in Eukaryota, Metazoa, Chordata, Mammalia, Carnivora, Canidae.